Caenorhabditis brenneri is the source of this 73-nucleotide non-coding RNA. The record is from the annotation of a GenBank genome assembly. Lineage: Eukaryota; Metazoa; Nematoda; Chromadorea; Rhabditida; Rhabditidae.
GCCGCGAUGGCCGAGUGGUUAGCGCGUCUGCCUCUCGUGCCGACGCCCACGGGUUCGAUUCCCCUCGGGGGCA